RNAcentral lists this long non-coding RNA (606 nucleotides) under Homo sapiens (human). RNAcentral's name for it is "HSALNT0300699". Lineage: Eukaryota; Metazoa; Chordata; Mammalia; Primates; Hominidae. The record is from RNAcentral.
GGGGAGCCCAGACUUGCCAAUGGGUAAGUGAGUCUAGUCAAGAUGUAGGAUUUCAGAAAACUCACUCAGAAGAGCAGGAUGAAGAUAAAGGAGGCAUCAUUCAGCAGCAAUAACCAGUAAGUAAUGGUAGAGAUCUUUAGGGUGUGGGCAAGUGACCCUAAAGACUUGCAAUGUUAGUUUAGCAAUCUGUUUGCAAUUUUCAAAUGAAAAACACUUGGAACAAAGAUAAGCUGCAUGGAAUAAACUGCCCUAGGGGAGAUCAUAAAUUAUCAGAGGUGCCUGGGGAAGUGGGAGAACAUAGUUCUCCGUGCAGCUUUUAGCAUCUUGCCGAUGGAGGUCAGAGUGAAGGUACUGUGGUCAGAGUGAAGGCCUUGGCAGGUAGGACCUUUCACAUUCCCAGAGCUACAUUAAUAGAGCUCCCUGGUCUCUGAACGGUGGGGAGCUAUUUUGUAAGCCAAUCAGGAACAAUUCCACAUUCAAGUAAGAGUAUACCAUCAAACAAUUGCUCGGAAUCCUAGCAGUUUCAGAGACAGUCUUGACAUAACAGGCCGAUGCAUUUUAUUUAAUAAACCUAAUCUAUUCUAAAUUUUCAUUAUGUUAUUAAGU